CCUACGGGUGGCAGCAGUGAGGAAUAUUGGUCAAUGGACGAAAGUCUGAACCAGCCAAGUAGCGUGAAGGAUGACUGCCCUAUGGGUUGUAAACUUCUUUUAUAAGGGAAUAAAACGAGGCACGUGUGCCUUUUUGCAUGUACUUUAUUACUAAGGAUCGGCUCACUCCGUGCCAGCAGCCGCGGGAAUACGGAGGAUCCGAGCGUUAUACGGAUUUUUUGGGGUUAAAGGGAGCGUAGGUGGCUUGUUAAGUCAGUUGUGAAAGUUUGCGGCUCAACCGUAAAAUUGCAGUUGAAACUGGAAGUCGUGAGUACAGUAGAGGUGGGCGGAAUUCGUGGUGUAGCGGUGAAAUGCUUAGAUAGCAUGAAGAACUCCGAUUGCGAAGGCAGCUCACUGGACUGCAACUGACACUGAUGCUCGAAAGUGUGGGUAUCAAACAGGAUUAGAUACCCUUGUAGUC
Molecule: ribosomal RNA, 460 nt
Filed under: uncultured bacterium
Lineage: Bacteria
Description: partial 16S ribosomal RNA
Rfam family: Bacterial small subunit ribosomal RNA
Source: RNAcentral